UACGUAGGGUGCGAGCGUUGUCCGGAAUUAUUGGGCGUAAAGAGCUCGUAGGCGGCUCGUCGCGUCGUCCGUGAAAACCCGCAGCUUAACUGCGGGCUUGCGGUUGAUACGGGCGGGCUAGAGUUCGGUAGGGGAGACUGGAAUUCCUGGUGUAGCGGUGAAAUGCGCAGAUAUCAGGAGGAACACCGGUGGCGAAGGCGGGUCUCUGGGCCGAUACUGACGCUGAGGAGCGAAAGCGUGGGGAGCGAACAGG
Molecule: ribosomal RNA, 253 nt
Filed under: uncultured bacterium
Lineage: Bacteria
Description: partial 16S ribosomal RNA
Rfam family: Bacterial small subunit ribosomal RNA
Source: RNAcentral